UCCUUGGUGAAUCAUGAUAACUUUACGAAUCGCAUGGCCUUGCGCCGGCGAUGGUUCAUUCAAAAUUCUGCCCUAUCAACUUUCGAUGUUAGGAUAGAGGCCUAACAUGGUAGCGACGGGUAACGGGGAAUUAGGGUUCGAUUCCGGAGAGGGAGCCUGAGAAACGGCUACCACAUCCAAGGAAGGCAGCAGGCGCGCAAAUUACCCAAUGCCGACACGGCGAGGUAGUGACAAUAAAUACUGAUCCAGGGCUNUUAUGGGUCUUGGAAUUGGAAUGAGUACAAUUUAAAUACCUUAACGAGGAACAAUUGGAGGGCAAGUCUGGUGCCAGCAGCCGCGGUAAUUCCAGCUCCAAUAGCGUAUAUUAAAGUUGUUGCAGUUAAAAAGCUCGUAGUUGAACCUUGGAACGGGCCGCUCUGUCCUCCUAAUCGAGCGUACGGAGUCGGCCGGUUCUUUCCUUCUGGGGAAUCCGAUGCCCUUCACUGGGUGUCGCGGGGAACCAGGACUUUUACUUUGAAAAAAUUAGAGUGUUCAAAGCAGGCCUUUGCUCGAAUAUCUUAGCAUGGAAUAAUGGAAUAGGACAUCGGUUCUAUUUUGUUGGUUUCUAGGACCGCUGUAAUGAUUAAUAGGGAUAGUCGGGGGCGUCUGUAUUCAAUUGUCAGAGGUGAAAUUCUUGGAUUUAUUGAAGACAAACUAUUGCGAAAGCAUUCGCCAAGGAUGUUUUCAUUAAUCAGUGAACGAAAGUUAGGGGAUCGAAGACGAUCUUUGGUGGGUAUUUGGUCGUCGACAGUAAAUCGUCGUUACUAGCCUAAAUGCUUCCGUCUGGGAAUAUUGGGGUGAUACCACCUAAUUGAGGAGCCCUAUAAAUUUUCUUUUAUAGUGAUCCACAGCCAAAUUUUAUGCUGUGAUAAGCAUAGAAUGCAGUUUACAGACUGUCUGGUGGAAGGUUGGGAAGUCGUUCCCAGCUUGAGAUAUAGCCGGUCCCCUGUGGCGAUCACAGUUGGGAUAAACGCAGAUACCGUCGUAGUCUUAACCAUAAACGAUGCCGGCAAGGGAUUGGACAGUGUUUCCUUUAUAUGACCUGUUCAGCACCUUACGAGAAAUCAUUAGCGUUUGGGCUCUGGGGGGAGUAUGGUCGCAAGGCUGAAACUUAAAGAAAUUGACGGAAGGGCACCACAAGGCGUGGNNCCUGCGGCUUAAUUUGACUCAACACGGGAAAACUCACCAGGUCCAGACACAAUAAGGAUUGACAGAUUGAGAGCUCUUUCUUGAUUUUGUGGGUGGUGGUAGAACACUUACAUGUGCCACCUACAGCUUUACGGGCGCUGAACCGUAAUCGCUAGUCCACGACAGUGGGCAACGUUCUUCUGUUGCUGAAAAUGAAAUACUGCCAAUGGCAGCUAUCAGCAGCCACCAACUGUGCAGGUUGGCUGGUUCACAGACUAAGUGAGGACGGACUAUCAUGAAGCCGUUGAAAACCAGAGAAAUUUCAACCAUGGGCUUUAUGUAGAUUGAGAUAUAGUCGAGCCUUGCUCUUUGAAGAGUUGAAGUACAGUGGCAUGGCCGUUCUUAGUUGGUGGAGUGAUUUGUCUGCUUAAUUGCGUUAACGAACGAGACCUUGACUUACUAAAUAGCCAGGCUGACUUUGGUCGGUCGCAGGCUUCUUAGAAGGACUUUGGGCUCAAGCCCAAGGAAGUACGAGGCAAUAACAGGUUGACCCUCUUCACAGGCCUGUUUAACUAUUUGUCGUCGGAGCGUGACGCUCUGGCAAUACCACUGGCACAGAGAAUGCUGCAGACACUGUGGCUGAUUCUGUGAUGCACCUUCUAUGGUCAUCUCAACGCCCGGUAAGUGGUAGGCCUACCUGGAAGGUAGGCUUCUGGUACGCGCUAAACCCCUGCUAUUUCGCAGGUUCUCUUGGUACCCUUUGCUGUGAUGCCCUUAGUCGUACAGACUUUCUAGGGGCAAGAAAUAAUGCCAGCACCUUUAACGGUGCGAUACCUCGCUCGUUCGAGAAGUUGUAAUCGACAACUCGAGGUCCGGAAGAGAUCGAUCUGCUGUCGGCUAGAUUGACCUUCGGAUUCAGAGACUAGAUAGAGGUGGGGGAUUGUGGAAGACCGUCCUCUAAGGUAUAGCCCGCACUCCACGCUUCACCGUGGAGAUCUAUGUGUAGAUGUUCUGGGCCGCNCGCGCGCUACACUGACAGGGCCAGCGAGUACACCACCU
RNAcentral lists this ribosomal RNA (2226 nucleotides) under Pyrenula aspistea. Its description in RNAcentral is "bacterial SSU rRNA". The stretch from base 1 to 1978 matches the Rfam family "Eukaryotic small subunit ribosomal RNA", at positions 240 to 1831 of the family's 1831-position model. The record is from RNAcentral. Lineage: Eukaryota; Fungi; Ascomycota; Eurotiomycetes; Pyrenulales; Pyrenulaceae.